CCAUCUGCAUGGUCCAAAGGCAUAUCACUACCUGAGAGAUACUCUGCACAUUCACCUGCCACAUCCCAGUUCAUUGCAAAGGUAUUGUUCAUGAUGUCCACCAUAGGGAUGCUUGUGAUAGUGGUUAAAUGGCUACGUGGUUAAAUAUCUUCUUUUUAAUUAUACAAGGUGGCUGAGCUCUCUUGAUGCCAGACCUGGUCUCAAUAAAAUGAUGUUGGACAUGCUGGAAAGACGGCGUCAGGAAGAUGAGGUCAAAUACGGAUGUGUCACUCUGAUGCUGGAUGCCAUGUCUCCCUGGCUGCUCAGACUUUGAGUAACUCUGUGGCAGUGGCGCUCCGCACCUUGCAGGACGUGGGCUAUGCAGAGUUCAAAGAUUGUGAGGCUACUUCUGAAUUAAUUAAGGUAAUGCAGCUAGGAUUUGCAUCAUUGACCAAAAACAUUUCCCAACAUUCUAGGCCUACUGUUGACUUCUUACCAACAUUUGGGUGAUUAAUUG
This 496-nucleotide long non-coding RNA is filed under the name Gadus morhua (Atlantic cod). RNAcentral describes it as "lncRNA (ENSGMOG00000025540.1)". Lineage: Eukaryota; Metazoa; Chordata; Actinopteri; Gadiformes; Gadidae. The record is from RNAcentral.